RNAcentral lists this ribosomal RNA (499 nucleotides) under uncultured Glomeromycotina. RNAcentral's name for it is "partial small subunit ribosomal RNA". It matches the Rfam family "Eukaryotic small subunit ribosomal RNA", at positions 591 to 1092 of the family's 1831-position model. The record is from RNAcentral. Lineage: Eukaryota; Fungi; Glomeromycota.
CCAAUAGCGUAUAUUAAAGUUGUUGCAGUUAAAAAGCUCGUAGUUGAAUUUCGGGAUCAGUACGCUGGUCGUGCCUUCGGUAUGCACUGGUGUCACUGGUUCCUCCCUUCUGACGAACCGUCAUGCCAUUCACUUGGUGUGGCAGGAAAUCAGGACUGUUACUUUGAAAAAAUUAGAGUGUUUAAAGCAGGCUCACGCUUGAAUACAUUAGCAUGGAAUAAUGAAAUAGGACGUUGAUCUUAUUUUGUUGGUUUCUAGGAUUGACGUAAUGAUUAAUAGGGAUAGUUGGGGGCAUUAGUAUUCAAUUGUCAGAGGUGAAAUUCUUGGAUUUAUUGAAGACUAACUACUGCGAAAGCAUUUGCCAAGGAUGUUUUCAUUAAUCAAGAACGAAAGUUAGGGGAUCGAAGACGAUCAGAUACCGUCGUAGUCUUAACCAUAAACUAUGCCGACUAGGGAUCGGAUGAUGUUAAUUUUUUAAUGACUCAUUCGGCGCCUUACG